CCAGCGGAGCAUCAGGCUGAGCAGUCACUGAACCCUGCCAGCUGCCAGAGCAGUGGGAGGAGGAGGAGGAGCCCCUGACUCUUCCUCAGCUGUCUGACAUCUGUAAAGAGCUGCUUCUCCAUGUCCAGCAGGAGCUGGGCUGCUGCACCUGGUGUCAAGGAACAGAAGAGGAUGAUAAAGUAUUGCUGCUAGCAAGAAUCCAGAAAGUGCCACAGUUCAACAAGUGUUGAACGUCCCUGGAAGGGAGAGCCAGAGUUUGUCCUAUGAAGCAGCAUGGCCAGGAACCCUUUGGGCAGGAUAAACCCAGGACAGGGGGAAGGCCAACCAGCAGAAAUGCCAUGAGCCCUUUCCCAAAGUGCCUGUGUGCUGCACACUGGAGCACCUGUGCAGAAGACAUCUCCAGAGGUAAGGGUGAGGUAAAGAGCAUCACUGCUGCCUGUUUAGAUCAGACACCAUCCAAGGGGGCUUCCUCACCAGGGCUAUUCCUGCUCUAAAAGCUGGGAGUUUAUUGCACAUGGUGGAGUAAAUUACAAAGAGAAAUAUAUGCUUCCAUGCUUCACUGACUGAAUCAGAGCCUCAGUACCUGGAUAUGCAGUAAAAGCUGACUAUUUCUUGCCUUUUCUGUAUCUACUUCUGGAUCCAGUGUGUUAACACCCGUAAUUAACUACAGGAAAUUAAAAAAAGGAUCACACCCCUAAGAAGAAAAUAUUUCUCCUCCUUACUCUGUGCUAAGGCUUCCCUGGCAAGGAAUUCUGUUUUUCUGCUGUUCUGGCAGAUUGUUUGACACUGAGCAACUGCAUUAGCACUUCUGGAACAAGGAAUGAGAGCUGAGAGUUAAAAAAGCAUUGUGGAAGCCUUCCUGCUUGAGACAUUUAAAAAUUAAAUGACUGAAGCUUUUAGAAAUUUAGUGUAAUAGACUGAUGCCUAACUAACAGGGAAAUAAAGCAGAUCGCCUAAGAGAAUGUUUAAGUUUCAGUUUUGCCAUGCCCUGCUGCUGGCUUGGGAGUUUGGCUGAACUCUUCCCAGGUAAAUGACUCUGUUCCUGAUUCUAAGCAGGCUCCAGGCAGGAAGAAGAGGCAAGAAAAAGGUCUUAGAGGGCACAAGUCUCUGGAGGAAUGAGCUCAGCUGGUUGCUGGGCUGAAGUGGCCAGCAAGAGCAGCUUUCCAACCACCAAAUGGUGCAGCUGAGCUUUGGGCCAGAAGAGACCAGGCCUGUCCAGGCUGGCAGAAACGGAACCCUCUCCCUGCCCCCAGUCUUCUUAGCAUAGGAGGGAAGGUAAACCAGGAAAAUAUCUGCAUAAUGCCACAGUGCAAGAGGAAUCAGUCCCCUGAGAGCCUCUGGGAACAGGUCCAGCCCAGGUCUGUGGGUGCCAAGGGCCAGGCCGCAGCUGCUCAGGAGCUGGGAAGGUCAAACCUCUGCUGGGGAAACCUCCAGGCCCAUUAACAUUUUCAAUUAACAUAAAUCUCCAUGUUUCCAAACAAUUUUCUAGGAAUUCUAAUAUAAGCACAUAUUUAGGCCCUGGACAUUGCUCACAAAAGUCAUAUUUUGAAGAGUGACAAGUAAAGCUUCAUCCUGCUUUUAGCCCCAUCUGCUGUGUCUUGCCUUGUCUUGUCUGUGCUUCUGAGCCAACAAUGAGGGAACUUUCUUUCCUGCUCAGGCAGAUGUUUACCUUUCAGCACCUGAGAUGACCUUU
Zonotrichia albicollis (white-throated sparrow) is the source of this 1693-nucleotide non-coding RNA. Lineage: Eukaryota; Metazoa; Chordata; Aves; Passeriformes; Passerellidae. The record is from RefSeq and is a predicted model, not a curated record.